This 73-nucleotide transfer RNA is filed under the name Planctomycetota bacterium. Its description in RNAcentral is "Planctomycetes bacterium tRNA-Thr". It matches the Rfam family "tRNA". Rfam says of the family: Transfer RNA (tRNA) molecules are approximately 80 nucleotides in length. Their secondary structure includes four short double-helical elements and three loops (D, anti-codon, and T loops). The record is from RNAcentral. Lineage: Bacteria; Pseudomonadati; Planctomycetota.
GCUAGCGUAGCUCAAUCGGUAGAGCAGUAGUUUUGUAAACUACAGGUUGUGGGUUCGAGUCCCUCCGCUAGCU